This 66-nucleotide transfer RNA is filed under the name Marmota monax (woodchuck). Its description in RNAcentral is "tRNA.Ala". The record is from RNAcentral. Lineage: Eukaryota; Metazoa; Chordata; Mammalia; Rodentia; Sciuridae.
GGUUGUGGCUCAGCGGUGGAGCGCUCGCCUAGCACAUGCAGGCCCUGGGUUCGAUCCUCAGCACCA